Molecule: non-coding RNA, 212 nt
Organism: Pelobates cultripes (western spadefoot toad)
Lineage: Eukaryota; Metazoa; Chordata; Amphibia; Anura; Pelobatidae
Source: the annotation of a GenBank genome assembly
ACACCACUAAGCUCUUUUAACAGCUUUGGGUGUAUUCCAUCAGGUCCCAUUGACUUAUUUGUCUUUACUUUUGACAGUUGAAAUAGAACCUCUUCCUCUGUAAACGCACGUGUAAUAAAUUACUCAUAUAUCCUUCUUCUUAACUGAGGUCCCUUUUCUUCAUUUUCAUCUGUAAAUACCGAACAAAAAUAUUAAUUGAGGCAGUCAGCUAG